GCAGUAACAUCCUCCUCCUCCUCCUCCUGCUCCUCAUCCGCAGCGGGGGCGCGCCUGGCUGCGGGAUCCCGUUCCCGACUCAAGUACGGGAUGUUUGAUCCGGUGAAUUCAGACCUGGACCGAGCCGGAAUGUGCGCCCUAAACCCGCACGGUCCUCCCUACCUCUACUGGACAAGUUGACGCUAAACCAAAAAGAUGAUGACGACGAUGAUGAAGAUGAUGAAGAUGACUGCGCAUGUGAAAACUGAGCUCAGUCUGUCGCUAACAGGAGAGUCGAGGGCUUCACAGAACACUGCACAAUUUGAACAAGAGAGGUAAAAAGCCAACUGAUGAGCGAACGUGCAAAGUGGUCCCCAAGCACAACUACAUAACUGCCAUCAAGGAUUUCUAGAGAGAAGGUAAUCAAACAGCAUCCUCCCGUCUCUGAUGAAAAAAACAACAACAAAUAAUCAACGAUUGUUAUGUAUUGGGUGUUAUUAUAUAAAAUAAACAGGGUAGUUUGUUAGCCUGACCUCGUGG
Molecule: long non-coding RNA, 519 nt
Organism: Solea senegalensis (Senegalese sole)
Lineage: Eukaryota; Metazoa; Chordata; Actinopteri; Pleuronectiformes; Soleidae
Exons: 3
Source: RefSeq, a predicted model, not a curated record